UACAGAGGGGGCAAGCGUUGUUCGGAAUUACUGGGCAUAAAGGGCGCGUAGGCGGCCUGCUAAGUCGAACGUGAAAUCCCUGGGCUCAACCCAGGAACUGCGUCCGAUACUGGUUGGCUUGAAUCCGGGAGAGGGAUGUGGAAUUCCAGGUGUAGCGGUGAAAUGCGUAGAUAUCUGGAGGAACACCGGUGGCGAAGGCGGCAUCCUGGACCAUGACUGACGCUGAGGAGCGAAAGCCAGGGGAGCAAACGGG
Molecule: ribosomal RNA, 253 nt
Filed under: uncultured bacterium
Lineage: Bacteria
Description: partial 16S ribosomal RNA
Rfam family: Bacterial small subunit ribosomal RNA
Source: RNAcentral